UAACAAACUGAGAGAUUACGCAGAUGG
Molecule: small RNA, 27 nt
Filed under: Bombyx mori (domestic silkworm)
Lineage: Eukaryota; Metazoa; Arthropoda; Insecta; Lepidoptera; Bombycidae
Description: ovarian small RNA-18523
Source: RNAcentral